This 212-nucleotide long non-coding RNA is filed under the name Trifolium pratense (red clover). RNAcentral describes it as "long non-coding RNA (TPRA_LNC009673)". The record is from RNAcentral. Lineage: Eukaryota; Viridiplantae; Streptophyta; Magnoliopsida; Fabales; Fabaceae.
AGAGUUUGACUUCCUCAUUUUUGCUUAUGAGGCAGGUAGACAUAUAAUUUCCUUCUUCAGACACCCACAAGUAACAAUUGUCUUUGGACCUUACUCCCUUCAUUAUCAGUCUUCCUUCUUCAUUUGUAACAAGACAUUCUGAUUGUGUGAAGUUCACCUUCAUGCCUUGGUCACAUAGUUGACUGAUGCUAAUCAAAUUUGCUGUAAGUCCU